UGAGGAACAUGACCUUCGGCGGGGGAUAGCCGGCCCAACGGCCGGGUAAUACCGCGUACGACCAUUUGGGGACAUCCCCGAGUGGUGAAAGCAGCAAUGCGCCGAUGGAGUGCCUCGCGGCCUAUCAGCUAGUUGGUGGGGUAACGGCUCACCAAGGCAACGACGGGUAGCUGGUCUGAGAGGNUCGCCACGCCACUAGGUUCGGGACUGGAACGACCGACCGGCCAGUACCC
Molecule: ribosomal RNA, 233 nt
Filed under: uncultured bacterium
Lineage: Bacteria
Description: partial 16S ribosomal RNA
Rfam family: Bacterial small subunit ribosomal RNA (bases 1-196)
Source: RNAcentral